Molecule: ribosomal RNA, 615 nt
Filed under: Enterobacter asburiae
Lineage: Bacteria; Pseudomonadati; Pseudomonadota; Gammaproteobacteria; Enterobacterales; Enterobacteriaceae
Description: bacterial SSU rRNA
Rfam family: Bacterial small subunit ribosomal RNA
Source: RNAcentral
GAGCAAACAGGAUUAGAUACCCCUGGUAGUCCACGCCGUAAAACGAUGUCGACUUGGAGGUUGUGCCCUUGAGGCGUGGCUUCCGGAGCUAACGCGUUAAGUCGACCGCCUGGGGAGUACGGCCGCAAGGUUAAAACUCAAAUGAAUUGACGGGGGCCCGCACAAGCGGUGGAGCAUGUGGUUUAAUUCGAUGCAACGCGAAGAACCUUACCUACUCUUGACAUCCAGAGAACUUNNCAGAGAUGNUUUGGUGCCUUCGGGAACUCUGAGACAGGUGCUGCAUGGCUGUCGUCAGCUCGUGUUGUGAAAUGUUGGGUUAAGUCCCGCAACGAGCGCAACCCUUAUCCUUUGUUGCCAGCGGUCCGGCCGGGAACUCAAAGGAGACUGCCAGUGAUAAACUGGAGGAAGGUGGGGAUGACGUCAAGUCAUCAUGGCCCUUACGAGUAGGGCUACACACGUGCUACAAUGGCGCAUACAAAGAGAAGCGACCUCGCGAGAGCAAGCGGACCUCAUAAAGUGCGUCGUAGUCCGGAUUGGAGUCUGCAACUCGACUCCAUGAAGUCGGAAUCGCUAGUAAUCGUAGAUCAGAAUGCUNCGGUGAAUACGUUACCCNGG